GCCAAUGUGGCGUAGUGGUUUGAGUGUUGGACUCUGACUAUGGAGACCUGGGUUCGAUUCCCCACUUGGUCA
RNAcentral lists this transfer RNA (72 nucleotides) under Phrynosoma platyrhinos (Desert horned lizard). RNAcentral's name for it is "tRNA-OTHER". Lineage: Eukaryota; Metazoa; Chordata; Lepidosauria; Squamata; Phrynosomatidae. The record is from RNAcentral.